This 72-nucleotide transfer RNA is filed under the name Phrynosoma platyrhinos (Desert horned lizard). RNAcentral describes it as "tRNA-OTHER". The record is from RNAcentral. Lineage: Eukaryota; Metazoa; Chordata; Lepidosauria; Squamata; Phrynosomatidae.
ACCAGCAUGGCAUAGUGGUAUGAGUGUUAGACUAUGAUUCUGAAGACCAGGAUUCAAUUCCCUGCUUGGCUA